GGUGACAAUGGCAAGGAGGUCACACCUGUUCCCAUGCCGAACACAGAAGUUAAGCUCCUUAGCGCCGAUGGUAGUCGGGCUUACGUCCCGCUAGAGUAGGACGUUGCCAGGC
Molecule: ribosomal RNA, 112 nt
Filed under: Staphylococcus capitis
Lineage: Bacteria; Bacillati; Bacillota; Bacilli; Caryophanales; Staphylococcaceae
Source: RNAcentral